GACGAACGCUGGCGGCGUGCUUAACACAUGCAAGUCGAACGGAAAGGCCCUGCUUUUGUGGGGUGCUCGAGUGGCGAACGGGUGAGUGACACGUGAGUAACCUGCCCUUGACUUUGGGAUAACUUCAGGAAACUGGGGCUAAUACCGGAUAGGAGCUCCUGCUGCAUGGUGGGGGUUGGAAAGUUUCGGCGGUUGGGGAUGGACUCGCGGCUUAUCAACUUGUUGGUGGGGUAGUGGCUUACCAAGGCUUUGACGGGUAGCCGGCCUGAGAGGGUGACCGGCCACAUUGGGACUGAGAUACGGCCCAGACUCCUACGGGAGGCAGCAGUGGGGAAUAUUGCACAAUGGGCGGAAGCCUGAUGCAGCAACGCCGCGUGCGGGAUGACGGCCUUCGGGCUGUAAACCGCUUUCGCCUGUGACGAAGCGUGAGUGACGGUAAUGGGUAAAGAAGCACCGGCUAACUACGUG
This 468-nucleotide ribosomal RNA is filed under the name uncultured bacterium. RNAcentral describes it as "partial 16S ribosomal RNA". It matches the Rfam family "Bacterial small subunit ribosomal RNA", at positions 28 to 507 of the family's 1533-position model. The record is from RNAcentral.